GCGAUGGUGGUAUAGUGGUUAACAUAGUUGCCUUCCAAGCAAUUGACCCGAGUUCGAUUCUGGGCUAUCACA
This 72-nucleotide transfer RNA is filed under the name Daphnia pulex (common water flea). It matches the Rfam family "tRNA". Rfam says of the family: Transfer RNA (tRNA) molecules are approximately 80 nucleotides in length. Their secondary structure includes four short double-helical elements and three loops (D, anti-codon, and T loops). The record is from Rfam by way of RNAcentral. Lineage: Eukaryota; Metazoa; Arthropoda; Branchiopoda; Diplostraca; Daphniidae.